GAUGAACGCUGGCGGCGUGCCUAACACAUGCAAGUCGAGCGAUUCUCUUCGGAGAAGAGCGGCGGACGGGUGAGUAACGCGUGGGUAACCUGCCCUGUACACACGGAUAACAUACCGAAAGGUAUGCUAAUACGAGAUAAUAUACUUUUAUCGCAUGGUAGAAGUAUCAAAGCUCCGGCGGUACAGGAUGGACCCGCGUCUGAUUAGCUAGUUGGUAAGGUAACGGCUUACCAAGGCGACGAUCAGUAGCCGACCUGAGAGGGUGAUCGGCCACAUUGGAACUGAGACACGGUCCAAACUCCUACGGGAGGCAGCAGUGGGGAAUAUUGCACAAUGGGCGAAAGCCUGAUGCAGCAACGCCGCGUGAGCGAUGAAGGCCUUCGGUCGUAAAGCUCUGUCCUCAAGGAAGAUAAUGACGGUACUUGAGGAGGAAGCCCGGCUAACUAACGUGCCAGCAGCCGCGGUAAGU
RNAcentral lists this ribosomal RNA (469 nucleotides) under uncultured bacterium. RNAcentral describes it as "bacterial SSU rRNA". It matches the Rfam family "Bacterial small subunit ribosomal RNA", at positions 28 to 525 of the family's 1533-position model. The record is from RNAcentral.